GAUGAACGCUGGCGGCGUGCCUAAUACAUGCAAGUCGAGCGAACGGACGAGAAGCUUGCUUUUCUGAUGUUAGCGGCGGACGGGUGAGUAACACGUGGAUAACCUACCUAUAAGACUGGGAUAACUUCGGGAAACCGGAGCUAAUACCGGAUAAUAUUUUGAACCGCAUGGUUCAAAAGUGAAAGACGGUCUUGCUGUCACUUAUAGAUGGAUCCGCGCUGCAUUAGCUAGUUGGUAAGGUAACGGCUUACCAAGGCAACGAUGCAUAGCCGACCUGAGAGGGGGAUCGGCCACCCUGGAACGGAGACGCGGCCCAGACUCCUACGGGAGGCAGCAGUAGGGAAUCUUCCGCAAUGGGCGAAAGCCUGACGGAGCAACGCCGCGUGAUUGAUGAAGGUCUUCGGAUCGUAAAGCUCUGUUUUUAGGGAAGAACAUAUGUGUAAUUAACUGUGCACAUCUUGACGGUACCUAAUCAGAAAGCCACGGCUAACUACGUG
Molecule: ribosomal RNA, 497 nt
Filed under: uncultured bacterium
Lineage: Bacteria
Description: partial 16S ribosomal RNA
Rfam family: Bacterial small subunit ribosomal RNA
Source: RNAcentral